GGGGACAACAGUUGGAAACGACUGCUAAUACCGCAUACGAUCCAAUCUCGGCAUCGAGACUGGAUGAAAGGUGGCCUCUAUUUAUAAGCUAUCACUGAAGGAGGGGAUUGCGUCUGAUUAGCUAGUUGGAGGGGUAACGGCCCACCAAGGCGAUGAUCAGUAGCCGGUCUGAGAGGAUGAACGGCCACAUUGGGACUGAGACACGGCCCAG
Molecule: ribosomal RNA, 211 nt
Filed under: uncultured Veillonellaceae bacterium
Lineage: Bacteria; Bacillati; Bacillota; Negativicutes; Veillonellales; Veillonellaceae
Description: partial 16S ribosomal RNA
Rfam family: Bacterial small subunit ribosomal RNA
Source: RNAcentral